UCCAGAGCCUGCCUCUCAGCUCUCCCAGGGCGGCCUCGAGCGCUGCUCCUGCUCCUCCAGGGGAGAGGGUUUCACUCCCGUCACCCAGACUGGAGUACAAUGGUGCGAUCUCAGCUCACUGCAACCUCUGCCUCCUGGGCUUAAGCGAUUCUCCUGCCUUGGCCUCCCAAGUAGCUGGGAUUACAGGUGCCUGCCACCACUCCUGGCUAAUUUUUGUAUUUUUUGUAAAGGCGGAGUUUCUCCAUGUUGCCCAGGCUAGUCUCAAACUCCUGAGCUCAAGCAAUCCACCCGCCUCGGCCUCCCAAAUAAGUGGAAUUAUAGGUGUGAGCCACCACGCCGGCCCUGAUGUAUCAAUAUUAAAACAUUUUCUUCAGCCUACAAGUUCUUCUUUUUCUUAUUUGGAUGCAAACUAAA
RNAcentral lists this long non-coding RNA (414 nucleotides) under Homo sapiens (human). RNAcentral describes it as "HSALNT0351647". Lineage: Eukaryota; Metazoa; Chordata; Mammalia; Primates; Hominidae. The record is from RNAcentral.